RNAcentral lists this ribosomal RNA (569 nucleotides) under Vishniacozyma victoriae. Its description in RNAcentral is "partial large subunit ribosomal RNA". It matches the Rfam family "Eukaryotic large subunit ribosomal RNA", at positions 61 to 615 of the family's 3401-position model. Lineage: Eukaryota; Fungi; Basidiomycota; Tremellomycetes; Tremellales; Bulleribasidiaceae. The record is from RNAcentral.
GAAACUAACUAGGAUUCCCUUAGUAACGGCGAGUGAACCGGGAUGAGCUCAAAUUUAAAAUCUGGCGUCUUUCAGGCGUCCGAGUUGUAAUCUAUAGAGGCGUUUUCCGCGCCGGACCGCGUCCAAGUCUCUUGGAAUAGAGUAUCAAAGAGGGUGACAAUCCCGUACUUGACGCGACAACCGGUGCUCUGUGAUACGUUCUCAAUGAGUCGAGUUGUUUGGGAAUGCAGCUCUAAAUGGGUGGUAAAUUCCAUCUAAGGCUAAAUAUUGGCGAGAGACCGAUAGCGAACAAGUACCGUGAGGGAAAGAUGAAAAGCACUUUGGAAAGAGAGUUAAACAGCACGUGAAAUUGUUAAAAGGGAAACGAUUGAAGUCAGUCGUGUGAAAGGUAUUCAGCCGUCUCUGGCGGUGUAUUUGCCUUUCACGGGUCAACAUCAGUUUGAUCCGGUAGAAAAAGGCGGGAGGAAGGUGGCACCCUCGGGUGUGUUAUAGCCUCCUGUCAUAUGUGCCGGACCAGACUGAGGAACGCAGCUUGCCGCAAGGCCGGGGUUCGCCCACGUACAAGCUUA